This 395-nucleotide long non-coding RNA is filed under the name Polistes dominula (European paper wasp). Its description in RNAcentral is "uncharacterized LOC107066742, transcript variant X2". Lineage: Eukaryota; Metazoa; Arthropoda; Insecta; Hymenoptera; Vespidae. The record is from RNAcentral.
CACCAUUAUCGUGAACGCCACUGUGGUCAAUUGAUCAACUACAAUGUCAAAUCUGUUUUACCAUCAAAUUAUCUCAGUAGUUGUCAAGGUAACAGGAAGUUGACGCCGACGGAGGCGGGAACGUCAGACGUCGCGAUGCACCUGUGACGUGCAAAUCGCCGUUGGUGGAGCGGCGUUAAGCCGUUUUCCUCCGAAAAAAAAAAUAUCAAAAGAAACAAAAGAAAAAAAACACAUAACGUUGAUUGAGAGAGAAGAUAAGCGGGUCUUCUUCUUAACGUCAAUGUAACACUAAGACUAGGACAACGAUGAUGACUAAAACGAGAACGACAAGGAACACGACGAAGACGAAGACGAAGACGAAGACGAAGACGAAGACGAAGACGAAGACGAUGAAG